GAGGGUAUAGCUCAGGGGUAGAGUGUGUGCCUAGCAUACACAAGAUCCUGGGUUCAAUCCCCUGUACCUCCA
Molecule: transfer RNA, 72 nt
Filed under: Camelus bactrianus (Bactrian camel)
Lineage: Eukaryota; Metazoa; Chordata; Mammalia; Artiodactyla; Camelidae
Also listed under: 2 other names
Rfam family: tRNA
About the family: Transfer RNA (tRNA) molecules are approximately 80 nucleotides in length. Their secondary structure includes four short double-helical elements and three loops (D, anti-codon, and T loops). Further hydrogen bonds mediate the characteristic L-shaped molecular structure. tRNAs have two regions of fundamental functional importance: the anti-codon, which is responsible for specific mRNA codon recognition, and the 3' end, to which the tRNAs corresponding amino acid is attached (by aminoacyl-tRNA synthetases). tRNAs cope with the degeneracy of the genetic code in two manners: having more than one tRNA (with a specific anti-codon) for a particular amino acid; and 'wobble' base-pairing, i.e. permitting non-standard base-pairing at the 3rd anti-codon position.
Source: Rfam by way of RNAcentral